Molecule: ribosomal RNA, 465 nt
Filed under: uncultured Klebsiella sp.
Lineage: Bacteria; Pseudomonadati; Pseudomonadota; Gammaproteobacteria; Enterobacterales; Enterobacteriaceae
Description: bacterial SSU rRNA
Rfam family: Bacterial small subunit ribosomal RNA
Source: RNAcentral
CCUACGGGGGGCUGCAGUGGGGAAUAUUGCACAAUGGGCGCAAGCCUGAUGCAGCCAUGCCGCGUGUGUGAAGAAGGCCUUCGGGUUGUAAAGCACUUUCAGCGGGGAGGAAGGCGUUAAGGUUAAUAACCUUGGCGAUUGACGUUACCCGCAGAAGAAGCACCGGCUAACUCCGUGCCAGCAGCCGCGGUAAUACGGAGGGUGCAAGCGUUAAUCGGAAUUACUGGGCGUAAAGCGCACGCAGGCGGUCUGUCAAGUCGGAUGUGAAAUCCCCGGGCUCAACCUGGGAACUGCAUUCGAAACUGGCAGGCUAGAGUCUUGUAGAGGGGGGUAGAAUUCCAGGUGUAGCGGUGAAAUCCGUAGAGAUCUGGAGGAAUACCGGUGGCGAAGGCGGCCCCCUGGACAAAGACUGACGCUCAGGUGCGAAAGCGUGGGGAGCAAACAGGAUUAGAUACCCGAGUAGUC